RNAcentral lists this ribosomal RNA (2929 nucleotides) under Escherichia coli. RNAcentral's name for it is "bacterial LSU rRNA". It matches the Rfam family "Bacterial large subunit ribosomal RNA". The record is from RNAcentral. Lineage: Bacteria; Pseudomonadati; Pseudomonadota; Gammaproteobacteria; Enterobacterales; Enterobacteriaceae.
GGGUUGUGAGGUUAAGCGACUAAGCGUACACGGUGGAUGCCCUGGCAGUCAGAGGCGAUGAAGGACGUGCUAAUCUGCGAUAAGCGUCGGUAAGGUGAUAUGAACCGUUAUAACCGGCGAUUUCCGAAUGGGGAAACCCAGUGUGUUUCGACACACUAUCAUUAACUGAAUCCAUAGGUUAAUGAGGCGAACCGGGGGAACUGAAACAUCUAAGUACCCCGAGGAAAAGAAAUCAACCGAGAUUCCCCCAGUAGCGGCGAGCGAACGGGGAGCAGCCCAGAGCCUGAAUCAGUGUGUGUGUUAGUGGAAGCGUCUGGAAAGGCGCGCGAUACAGGGUGACAGCCCCGUACACAAAAAUGCACAUACUGUGAGCUCGAUGAGUAGGGCGGGACACGUGGUAUCCUGUCUGAAUAUGGGGGGACCAUCCUCCAAGGCUAAAUACUCCUGACUGACCGAUAGUGAACCAGUACCGUGAGGGAAAGGCGAAAAGAACCCCGGCGAGGGGAGUGAAAAAGAACCUGAAACCGUGUACGUACAAGCAGUGGGAGCACGCUUAGGCGUGUGACUGCGUACCUUUUGUAUAAUGGGUCAGCGACUUAUAUUCUGUAGCAAGGUUAACCGAAUAGGGGAGCCGAAGGGAAACCGAGUCUUAACUGGGCGUUAAGUUGCAGGGUAUAGACCCGAAACCCGGUGAUCUAGCCAUGGGCAGGUUGAAGGUUGGGUAACACUAACUGGAGGACCGAACCGACUAAUGUUGAAAAAUUAGCGGAUGACUUGUGGCUGGGGGUGAAAGGCCAAUCAAACCGGGAGAUAGCUGGUUCUCCCCGAAAGCUAUUUAGGUAGCGCCUCGUGAAUUCAUCUCCGGGGGUAGAGCACUGUUUCGGCAAGGGGGUCAUCCCGACUUACCAACCCGAUGCAAACUGCGAAUACCGGAGAAUGUUAUCACGGGAGACACACGGCGGGUGCUAACGUCCGUCGUGAAGAGGGAAACAACCCAGACCGCCAGCUAAGGUCCCAAAGUCAUGGUUAAGUGGGAAACGAUGUGGGAAGGCCCAGACAGCCAGGAUGUUGGCUUAGAAGCAGCCAUCAUUUAAAGAAAGCGUAAUAGCUCACUGGUCGAGUCGGCCUGCGCGGAAGAUGUAACGGGGCUAAACCAUGCACCGAAGCUGCGGCAGCGACACUAUGUGUUGUUGGGUAGGGGAGCGUUCUGUAAGCCUGUGAAGGUGUACUGUGAGGUAUGCUGGAGGUAUCAGAAGUGCGAAUGCUGACAUAAGUAACGAUAAAGCGGGUGAAAAGCCCGCUCGCCGGAAGACCAAGGGUUCCUGUCCAACGUUAAUCGGGGCAGGGUGAGUCGACCCCUAAGGCGAGGCCGAAAGGCGUAGUCGAUGGGAAACAGGUUAAUAUUCCUGUACUUGGUGUUACUGCGAAGGGGGGACGGAGAAGGCUAUGUUGGCCGGGCGACGGUUGUCCCGGUUUAAGCGUGUAGGCUGGUUUUCCAGGCAAAUCCGGAAAAUCAAGGCUGAGGCGUGAUGACGAGGCACUACGGUGCUGAAGCAACAAAUGCCCUGCUUCCAGGAAAAGCCUCUAAGCAUCAGGUAACAUCAAAUCGUACCCCAAACCGACACAGGUGGUCAGGUAGAGAAUACCAAGGCGCUUGAGAGAACUCGGGUGAAGGAACUAGGCAAAAUGGUGCCGUAACUUCGGGAGAAGGCACGCUGAUAUGUAGGUGAAGUCCCUCGCGGAUGGAGCUGAAAUCAGUCGAAGAUACCAGCUGGCUGCAACUGUUUAUUAAAAACACAGCACUGUGCAAACACGAAAGUGGACGUAUACGGUGUGACGCCUGCCCGGUGCCGGAAGGUUAAUUGAUGGGGUCAGCGCAAGCGAAGCUCUUGAUCGAAGCCCCGGUAAACGGCGGCCGUAACUAUAACGGUCCUAAGGUAGCGAAAUUCCUUGUCGGGUAAGUUCCGACCUGCACGAAUGGCGUAAUGAUGGCCAGGCUGUCUCCACCCGAGACUCAGUGAAAUUGAACUCGCUGUGAAGAUGCAGUGUACCCGCGGCAAGACGGAAAGACCCCGUGAACCUUUACUAUAGCUUGACACUGAACAUUGAGCCUUGAUGUGUAGGAUAGGUGGGAGGCUUUGAAGUGUGGACGCCAGUCUGCAUGGAGCCGACCUUGAAAUACCACCCUUUAAUGUUUGAUGUUCUAACGUUGACCCGUAAUCCGGGUUGCGGACAGUGUCUGGUGGGUAGUUUGACUGGGGCGGUCUCCUCCUAAAGAGUAACGGAGGAGCACGAAGGUUGGCUAAUCCUGGUCGGACAUCAGGAGGUUAGUGCAAUGGCAUAAGCCAGCUUGACUGCGAGCGUGACGGCGCGAGCAGGUGCGAAAGCAGGUCAUAGUGAUCCGGUGGUUCUGAAUGGAAGGGCCAUCGCUCAACGGAUAAAAGGUACUCCGGGGAUAACAGGCUGAUACCGCCCAAGAGUUCAUAUCGACGGCGGUGUUUGGCACCUCGAUGUCGGCUCAUCACAUCCUGGGGCUGAAGUAGGUCCCAAGGGUAUGGCUGUUCGCCAUUUAAAGUGGUACGCGAGCUGGGUUUAGAACGUCGUGAGACAGUUCGGUCCCUAUCUGCCGUGGGCGCUGGAGAACUGAGGGGGGCUGCUCCUAGUACGAGAGGACCGGAGUGGACGCAUCACUGGUGUUCGGGUUGUCAUGCCAAUGGCACUGCCCGGUAGCUAAAUGCGGAAGAGAUAAGUGCUGAAAGCAUCUAAGCACGAAACUUGCCCCGAGAUGAGUUCUCCCUGACUCCUUGAGAGUCCUGAAGGAACGUUGAAGACGACGACGUUGAUAGGCCGGGUGUGUAAGCGCAGCGAUGCGUUGAGCUAACCGGUACUAAUGAACCGUGAGGCUUAACCUUACAACGCCGAAGCUGUU